GCGGCGAGGAGCUCGCAGGAAUGUAAACUCCAGGUUCGGGUCUCGGUAGUUGUCGGCAGGGGGAAAUGGACGAGCGAAGUCCAUUGUUGGGCCACCAGCAGCCACAGAGUCUAGAUCUUCUGUCUCCAAACCUGAGACCGAGACACCAGAAUCUGAUCCCCACGCCAUGUGGACCGAUCAAGUCCUGGUCGGAGCUGUCGGCGCCAGUGAAGCUCUACUUCUGCUUCACCAUGGCGUCUCUGCUGGCGCUGCUCGGCCUCACCUCGUACAGCAUCUACAAGCAGCACAU
This is a long non-coding RNA of Nematolebias whitei (Rio pearlfish), 289 nucleotides long. RefSeq lists it as uncharacterized. Lineage: Eukaryota; Metazoa; Chordata; Actinopteri; Cyprinodontiformes; Rivulidae. The record is from RefSeq and is a predicted model, not a curated record. The transcript has 3 exons.